UAGAGUUUGAUCCUGGCUCAGAUUGAACGCUGGCGGCAGGCCUAACACAUGCAAGUCGAGCGGAUGAAGGGAGCUUGCUCCUGGAUUCAGCGGCGGACGGGUGAGUAAUGCCUAGGAAUCUGCCUGGUAGUGGGGGAUAACGUCCGGAAACGGGCGCUAAUACCGCAUACGUCCUGAGGGAGAAAGUGGGGGAUCUUCGGACCUCACGCUAUCAGAUGAGCCUAGGUCGGAUUAGCUAGUUGGUGGGGUAAAGGCCUACCAAGGCGACGAUCCGUAACUGGUCUGAGAGGAUGAUCAGUCACACUGGAACUGAGACACGGUCCAGACUCCUACGGGAGGCAGCAGUGGGGAAUAUUGGACAAUGGGCGAAAGCCUGAUCCAGCCAUGCCGCGUGUGUGAAGAAGGUCUUCGGAUUGUAAAGCACUUUAAGUUGGGAGGAAGGGCAGUAAGUUAAUACCUUGCUGUUUUGACGUUACCAACAGAAUAAGCACCGGCUAACUUCGUGCCAGCAGCCGCGGUAAUACGAAGGGUGCAAGCGUUAAUCGGAAUUACUGGGCGUAAAGCGCGCGUAGGUGGUUCAGCAAGUUGGAUGUGAAAUCCCCGGGCUCAACCUGGGAACUGCAUCCAAAACUACUGAGCUAGAGUACGGUAGAGGGUGGUGGAAUUUCCUGUGUAGCGGUGAAAUGCGUAGAUAUAGGAAGGAACACCAGUGGCGAAGGCGACCACCUGGACUGAUACUGACACUGAGGUGCGAAAGCGUGGGGAGCAAACAGGAUUAGAUACCCUGGUAGUCCACGCCGUAAACGAUGUCGACUAGCCGUUGGGAUCCUUGAGAUCUUAGUGGCGCAGCUAACGCGAUAAGUCGACCGCCUGGGGAGUACGGCCGCAAGGGUUAAAACUCAAAUGAAUUGACGGGGGNCCCNCACAAGCGGUGGANCAUGUGGUUUAAUUCGAANCAACGCGAANAACCUNACCUGGCCUUGACAUGCUGAAAACUUUCCAAAAAUGGAUUGGUNCCCUUCNGGAACUCAAACCNAGGUGCUGCAUGGCUNUCCUCACCNCCUNUCCUGAAAAUGUUGGGUUAANUCCCNUAACCAGCNCANCCUUNUCCUUAUUNCNACCNCUUNGGGNGGGNNCUUUAAGGAAACUGCCGGUGAAAACCCGGAGGANGGGGGGGAUAACUCAA
This 1186-nucleotide ribosomal RNA is filed under the name Pseudomonas aeruginosa. RNAcentral describes it as "partial 16S ribosomal RNA". It matches the Rfam family "Bacterial small subunit ribosomal RNA", at positions 1 to 1188 of the family's 1533-position model. The record is from RNAcentral. Lineage: Bacteria; Pseudomonadati; Pseudomonadota; Gammaproteobacteria; Pseudomonadales; Pseudomonadaceae.